Molecule: long non-coding RNA, 865 nt
Organism: Phacochoerus africanus (Common warthog)
Lineage: Eukaryota; Metazoa; Chordata; Mammalia; Artiodactyla; Suidae
Exons: 3
Source: RefSeq, a predicted model, not a curated record
UGGCGCAGCUGGGCACGGAAGCGAAGGGCGGCGGCGCUUCUCUCCCGGUCCCGCUCCGUCUCCGGGGACAACCGCACCGGAACGCGGGCAGUGUGGACGCCCACCUCGGGCUCGGUUUACCCGCCGGUGGAGAGGGCCGAGGUCUUGCGCCAGCGGACCUAGAAGCGGGCGUCUCUUCAGCACGCGCAGUCCAGCGUCUACUCUGUGCCAGGGGCCCGUGUGGAGAGUGCCUGGUCGGGGCCGGGGAGCCAGCGCUUCCUGGGCACUUUAAACAGUGCUCCCUGGCUGGGGUCGGUUUACCCCGGGCCGGCUUCUGGGCCCUGCGGCGCGAGGACCGAGCGUACCCCUACGGUGCGCGGCGCGCCGGGGGACGAGAGACGUCGAGCCUGACUCACCCCUGGGGACUCCUGUUCUCCUGAGGGAGAGGACAGGAAACUGCUGAGAGUCACUAAGAUUUGGAUCCUCAGUCUGUGUGUGGGAAGUGCACUCAGAUACCAUGCAGAGGCAGGAGUCCAGAGAGGAUGUGGCUGCAAUAGUCCAGACAGCCCAGCUGAUUGAAGCUCCAGCCAACAUCUUGACUGAAAACUUCUGAGAGGCUCUACGGCAGAAACUGUCAAUCAAGCUACUAAUGAUUUCCUGCCUCACAAAAAUCAGUGAGAAAAUGAAUUAUUAUUGUUUUAAGCUGCUAAUUUGUGGAGUUAUUACAUAACAAUAGAUCGAUUGGGUCAAGCAUCAUAAUGGAUGCUAAAAUUAGUGAAAUAGUGAAAAAUUUGUGAAAGUUGCAGGAGUAAUAGGAUAUUUAAAUGGUUUAAAAAUAUUUCCCCUCAGGAUAGUUAUUCCAAGACAUGGAAACAACCCAAAUGUG